Molecule: non-coding RNA, 333 nt
Organism: Sinocyclocheilus grahami
Lineage: Eukaryota; Metazoa; Chordata; Actinopteri; Cypriniformes; Cyprinidae
Source: the annotation of a RefSeq genome assembly
AUGGAGAGAUGCAUUCUACUGAUUCUCAUAACAGUAUCAGGUGUAUUUGCUGACAGCAUCGAGCCAAAAGAAAAGGAUGAAAUAAUCAGGAGAGAAGGAGAGUCUGUGACACUGAGCUGCUCAUAUGAUACAAGCAGCACUUAUGCUAUGCUUUACUGGUACAGACAGUAUCUAAAUAGAGAACCCCAGUUUUUAUUGCGUAAAGGUGCUCGAUCGUGGAGUGGCGAGCAUAUACCAGACCGUCGGUUUCAGACGACUACAUCCCAAUCAUCUACUGAACUCACUAUUACCAGUUUAACUCUGUCAGAUUCAGCUCUCUAUUAUUGUGCUCUA